GUUUUAUUGACAUGCCUCUGCUUCAAAACCCCUGAAGGGACCGCUCCACCGUCGAUAACCCUGCUUCAUAAUGCAUCAGCCGCUCACAAAACUGACCAGAGGUUAUGUGGGUCAUGCCGUGGCGACGCUGGGGGACGUGCACGGAGGGACACUGGCAGACAAAUGGGAGACAGGGAGAGGCUUAACAGAUUGAAGGCCAUCAAGGACAAUACGGAAAAAUGAACAACGACUAUUGUCGGAGGAAAUGCCGCAGGAGACUGACUGAUGGACGAGCAAAACAAGAGACGGGGGGAGAUGAAGCGGAGGAGGAGGACGGGUCGUAUUUCUGUCAUGCGGCGCCGUCCUUUGUUUGCUCAUCACAUGCGGUAUCUCUGCAUGGUCCUUGUAUUCAUGUCAGAGAUAAUUAUAGGAGGACGCCGCCAGUUGCCAGAUCAGUAGAUAGCGGACGGGAGCUGCAUCUAAGCGCGGCGUCUCUUCCCCCUACUGGGUUGCCAGAUUUGCGAAUGUCUUGUAUGACGCUGCAUGAGCUCGCAGCCAUGCCUCACCUUCUGCGUGUCCUCGAAGAAUAGCGUCACUGGGCUUCAGAUUUCUUCACCGUGUUUGUCUUGAAGGUCAAUGCAGUGGAGUUUAAUCAGAUCAGUCUCUCAGAAGAGGGUGAAGAGCAAAACAGACAACUGGAAAGACGUAUAAACAAUUUUCCUGACAGCCGAGGCUUUGAGACGGCAGCACCAGGAGGGAAGAGGAGGACGACGAAGAACCGGAACGUGAAGAACCACCAGCAGCAGCAACUACCACCUCUGAAAAUGCAUUCCAGUUUGCGACAUAUUUAAAAGGAGACCCUGCAAAGCCCUCUGUCGCAAGCAUCCGGCUCGGCUUACAUCACCCGAAAGACUUAUGCUGCGCCGGAUCAGCGUAAAGCCUGACAAGAUGUCCCGGGUGAUUUGCGAGGAGAACCUCUAGAGGUGCUGAAGUGCGUCCUGCUCCGAGAGCGACCGCAGGUGAAGCCCGUGGCUUCAGCUCCGCUGCGGUUACUCCUCUGCAUUUUUUGCCGACGAAUACUCGCCCGGACUGGAGUCCUCACUCAUAUGAGGUUAAACAGAGGCUGUUUCUGAUGUGUGUCUCAACGGAUACCGUCGUAAUCUCCCUGGGUGUGUGUAUGUGCCGGGGUUUGAGGUGUGGUCACCAGGCCAAGCCCCCCGGUUUGAUUUGGGACUGCUUGCAAGAUCUUUAAUAGUUAACUAUGAAUUAAUUCAUGACAGUAAGUGAAAUGUUUCCACAACACUGUACGAUAUAUGAGGCGUGCAUUUAUCUUUAUUGGAGCCGCAGCAAAACACUAUCUCACAAGUUAUUAAUGUCAGAAAAUUGGAUGUGAGAGUCCGCUGUGAAACGGCUUCAGACAUAAAUUGUUCAAUUAAACAUCACCAGUGAAAUUGGUUGUACAGCAACGCGGGGCCGCAAAAAAAUUGAACGCCGAGAUGAAUAGACAACAAAAGUGACUUAGUAUUCAAAGUCGGUUCCAAGGGAGACUUGCCCAAGCUGUUUGCAGUGAUUUAUGGGGCUGAAUAUGUCUGAUUUGUUCUUGAGUGCACAAACUGCCCUCUCAGUUUAACAGUGAUUUGAAUGCGUCUCGGGGUUCCAACAUGGACGUUAUACGCCAGCACCGGGG
Molecule: long non-coding RNA, 1666 nt
Organism: Gasterosteus aculeatus aculeatus (three-spined stickleback)
Lineage: Eukaryota; Metazoa; Chordata; Actinopteri; Perciformes; Gasterosteidae
Source: Ensembl